Priapulus caudatus is the source of this 499-nucleotide long non-coding RNA. RefSeq lists it as uncharacterized. The transcript has 3 exons. NCBI's taxonomy places the organism in Eukaryota, Metazoa, Priapulida, Priapulimorpha, Priapulimorphida, Priapulidae. The record is from RefSeq and is a predicted model, not a curated record.
GGCACCGCGGCAUUGCACGACCGUGCGCGUCUAAAACUGGGGUGAAAUUACCAGCCUGUCCUCUGGAGGAAAUGGCUUUGGCUAAAUUUAGUACUGAUGCGGAGAGCAGAAUAGAGAUGGCGUGGGACACUCUCAGCUGUUAGUAACAGCCGAGCGAGCAUUACGUCCGCAUGAACUUGUAAACGUGGACGGCGACAGAACGAGAGAUACACCGAGAGUCGGAACGAGGGCAGGAGAGCGAGGGAGACACGGAGACAGCAAUUUCAUACAAGCAGGUAUCUUAGACGGGUCUUGUGAGCAAUAGAUGGCGCUAGCACUAUGAUGGGUGAGACGGAUGCGAAUAUUUCGACGGCUGUCAAGAGUCAGGGAUUAUUAUUAAAUAGCGCCGGCAGUGAGGUAGUGAAGUCGUUGCCGUCGUCACGGAAACGCGGUCUCAAUGACAGUGAGGAUGAGUCACACUCGUCGGUGACGGACCAUGACUCAGUACACAGCACUGACA